AAUAUAAACCAUAAUGAGAUUGAAAUAUAAGAUUAUACAUACAAUCCCAUAAAUAAGUUUGGAGAAAUAAAACAAACAUAUAGUAUUAACAUAUCUAUAUGUUUGAAAUAACGCUAAGGUUGAGUCUAUCAUGAGAUUACCUUCUCUACAUUCUCUUCAUUCAGCUCAAGUCCAAUUUCUUCAUCUGCUAUUGGUUCUACAACAAUUAUUUCAGUAAUCUUUUCUAUUACGCGACACUCGAUCUUCAUUGUCACAAUAGAACUUGGACAGGAGCCGUAGGAUCCUUGUAGCUUCAAAGCACAACAUUGCCAUCAAUCUCAUGUAAUGCCACAUUACCGCAUUUGCAAUGAGAUAUGGUCAAACAUCAUCCAAUACUCUCUCAACAUUCUCAGUAGUUAAUGGCAAUUACAAGGCUGAAUCUGGGGUGUCAACAGCCUUUACAACUGCACAACAGCAAAUUACCUAAUUCAACAACAAAAGCAUUUGGAACUUCACCAAAAAGAGGAUAACUGAAUCCAUAUACUAGCAACUAAAAUCAAAUAUGCAGUGGGUGAUCAGACUUGUAUAAAAAAAAUCAAUAUAAACACUAUAAAACGGAGAAUCAAAGUCAAGUCAUGCAUAACUUUAUUGAGGGUAGCAACCUUGGGUUCGAGGUAAAUUAAAGCUUCUUUUUACUAACUUAUUAAAGCAUCUUUUUAAACAAGAAUGCAUCAUACGGGAAGUGCAGAAUGCACUAUUCUGCAUUGCAGAAUAGUGUCUGAAAGAGGGAGGAUAUAUGUAUCUGUAUAUGUAUAUAUAUGUAUAUAUCUAUACAUUCACACACUCUUAUUCUUCGAUUUCCAAAUAGGAAACUUUUUUUUUUCAAGGCAUGAUAAAGCAGCAGCCAGCAGCAUAAGAUUACCUUCACCAGCUCAUCAUCAAAAGUCAGAAGAAAUUGAUUCAAAAUUUCCUCCACAUGAUCCAUCCUCAAGAAACUCCAAGGCAGGUUACCCUUAAUUCCAAUUGACCUCCCAAAAUUGACAAAUAUCUCAUCAAGUAACACAAGGUGGGGGACCUUAUAUGGGGAUCUAUAAGGUAACACAAAUAUCAUCUAAUUUAACAAAACUAACAAACUAAGAGAUUGGACAUUCCAAAUAAAGUAUGUGAAUAUAAUUUCUACCAGUAAAUUAAAAUUUGAAUAGAAGGAACUCAUAUUUGAAGCCUAAAGCAAUAACCAUCACAGCAAGACUGAUUUGGGAACACAGAAUGAACUUGGUCCAGUUUUGAACCAUCAGAGCAACCCAUAAAUAAUCUCAGAAGAACUUCAAUUCACACAAAAUUGAAUUGAGAUCCAAUUUUGGGUUAGCAAAAAUUUGGGUUACUACUAAAUGAUGAACUGAGAUCCAGAAAAUAGAGUUUUACAACUCUGAGGAAAGUGUUUUCUCCUUUUAUUCAUUUUCUUUUGUCUGCUAGUGACGUAUAACGAAAUUCCCGUCAUUGGGCCACGUGUCUCUACUAUAUAGAUAUGGACGUAGUAGAAUAUCCGAUUCCUGCUACAUGCGUAACGGCCAUUUAAUUCUCCCCUGAUACGCAUGCGGGUGGACCUACCAGUCGGACGGGCUGGCCACUUUCCCUCUUCCGAACCGGACUAGAAGAUGGGGUUAAGGCUGAGCCUAGUGGAGACAUAAUUAUUGGGCCGGAAGGCUAGGCCGACCGGAUAGAGGAAUCUCGGUGAAUUUCGGUCCUUCAGCUGAAUGAGCUGGGCCUGACUCUUGGGUGAGACUUAGAAGCCUUCAGAUUAUGGGCUGUAUUCAUAGGGCUGACCUUAGACCGGGGUGAAUUAAUCCAGCGGUCAUCACUAAACUUUUAUAAUAGUUUGGAAAAUAAGUUAGAAACAAAAGGUUUUAUUUUUAUCUUUUUACUUCUACUAACUGAUUGGAUAAUUAAUUUAUGAAAAAUAUUAAAUUGAUCUCCUACAUAUAUACUUUUCUCCAUUUCAAAUUGGUACAACUUUAAAAAAAAAAAAUACAAAUAAUUUGUGAGUUAUUUUGAUAUGUAUAAACUUUUUAAUUUCUUCCAUAAUGUAAUUAGUGAAAUCUCUUUUAGUAAAUUGUACUUCACACCAUGAGUUACCGUUAAUCGAAUUGUAAUAACUACCCCUAUUGAAACUUUCCAAUAUCAAAGUUUUAAUUAAACCCUUAUUGUACAAAGACAUCAUAACAAUCUCCUGAACAAAAUUUAAGGUUAAUUUGAGUAUUUUACUAAAAAAAUCCAUACUUGAAAGGAAAAGAUAAUUUAAGUCCACUAAAUAUAUUUAUCCAUCACGCCACGGUUACACUUUGUGUAUGACUGCAACUUGCACCCACCCUCAAAUUUUGGUAGCUUUAAAGACUUGCACUGCAAGAAAAAGGUUUUUUAGCAAAGAGAAAUCUCCUUAAGGUAACUUCCCGCCGCCAAAACCAAAUAACAGCUAAAAGUAUUCCAUCAUAUGCCGUCGCAAUAGGUUCCACCAUUAAAAGUCUAACGAGACAAGAAGAAGUAAUCGGUAGCAAUUGAGUUUUAGGAAAAUAAUAGUAUCGAUUGCUAAAACUUUAAUUUCAAUUGUAUUUUAAAGGUAAUUGCUAUGAUAAUAUCUUCACAAUUAAAAAUAAAAAUAUAUAUCGUCUAAAAAAUCCGAUUGUUAAAACAUAUCAUCUUUUGAUAGUGUUAUUAUUUACAUUAGUGGCAUUUUUUUUAAUGACAAGUUCAAUAUAAAUUUUUUUAGCUAUUCAUUCGAUUCAACAUGAUUCAUGUAUUUAUUAUAUUCAUAUAAAAUGUAAAGGAUAUAGAAGAAACUAUUAUGUAUAAUAAAAAUAUUUUUAUUUAUAACUUACAAAGUAGCUAUACAAUAUUUGAUAUUCAACAAUAUUAUCGUGUAUAAUCACUAUAAAUUAUCCUAAAAAAAUUACAAAAUAUCAACCCUAAAUAAUAAAAUGCCUAACUAUAUACAAAAAUAAAAAAUAUACAAGUAAAAUUCAUUCCAAGAACCUAAAUGAACUAUACAUCCAAGCUGAAUGGUGAGCAUAUGAUUGGCUUCAUUCAUACACCUACAUAAAUAAUAGAACAUAAAAUUUACAAUUUUUCAAAUUGAGAUAAAAUAAAUUAAAGAGAAAACAUUUAAGAGUUAUAAUUGUCAAGUAAACUAUAUGUCAAAAGACAAAUUUAAAUAUUAUAAACCAUCAAGAAUGAGAAUAACAAACUGAAAUUACCUAGCAUAAACAAGAAAAAGAAGCACAAGUCAAGAAAGAGUACAAGCAUAUGAUUUAAGACUUCAAAAACUAUAUUGUUAGCCAGGCAAACGAAGUCUGCCAGAAAUUAUAAUUUCCAGUAAUCUUCCUUUCUGGCAAUCUCUCCUCCCUUUGAUCUAAUAAAAAUAGCAAAGGCUUUAUGUAAUUUUCGGUUUAAAUUUCUAUUGCUGUUUACAUUUUUUGCUGCAAGUGUAGCAUGUGCACAGUGCACUUGUUGUGCAGCAAGCAGCAAGUGCAUUUGCUGCAAGUGCACUGUGCACUGCUGCACUUGCAGCAUUCCUGCUGUGCAAGUGCAGCAUUGCUGCUAUGCAAGUGCAGCAAGUGCACUGCUGCACUUGCAGCAUUGUUGCUGUGCAAGCUGCACAGCAGUGCACUUGCUGCAAGUGCAGCAGCAAGCACAUUCUAAAAUGAGUCAAUAUAAACCAUAAUGAGAUUGAAAUAUAAGAUUAUACAUACAAUCCCAUAAAUAAGUUUGGAGAAAUAAAACAAACAUAUAGUAUUAACAUAUCUAUAUGUUUGAAAUAACGCUAAGGUUGAGUCUAUCAUGAGAUUUCCUUCUCUGCAUUCUCUUCAUUCAGCUCAAGUCCAAUUUCUUCAUCUGCAAUUGGUUCUACAACAAUUAUUUC
RNAcentral lists this long non-coding RNA (3892 nucleotides) under Manihot esculenta (cassava). RNAcentral describes it as "long non-coding RNA (MESC_LNC008129)". Lineage: Eukaryota; Viridiplantae; Streptophyta; Magnoliopsida; Malpighiales; Euphorbiaceae. The record is from RNAcentral.